UCUCCUCGCCCUUCUUGGCUGUGCAGUACAUUCAUCUCAUCGUCAUCACCUUCAUCACCAUCAGUACUGAACAGCUACAUAAUUCACGAUCUUCAUCAUUCAGGUUGUAGUAUACUUCUCUGUUUGGGAUGUUACUGUUGACAGUUUUCAAGCUCGCUGAUUCUCUCCUUGGUCAUUUCCAGUCUAUGAUGAGCCCUUCCAAGGGGCUUGGAAUGAAAUCACAUCAGAACACCUUAAUACAUCAUCAGAAUGUCUUUCCAAAUACAGAUGUCUUUAUUGGCUCCACAAGCAGAUUAACAGCAUAGUGCAGCCUGAAUUCUACCUGGGCCUUCAAGUCCUCUUCAUGGAAGAUGAAGAUCUGGCUUCACACUGUUGCUAGUAACAUCUAGGUCUCAGCUCCUGAUCACUUAUGGACAACUUCUCAAAAGAAAACAGAAGAAACAACACACACACACCCCUUUGUAAGAAAGAGUAGUAAUAUAAGUGAACUCUAAACAGAGAUUUGAUCAGCCCUGCUUCUCUCUCUCUCCCACUUCCUCCUUCCCUCCUCCCCUCCCUCUGUGUGUGAUUAUUAUCACUAGUUACGGCUUAGAUCUACAACAUCCUCCAAAGUCUAAUGUGUCAGAGGCAAGGCUUUGCAAGAUGACUGGGUUAUGUGACUCUCAUCAGUGGAUUAAUCCAUCCAUGUGUUCAGAACUGAACAUGCUGUCAGGAGGUGGAUCCUAGUUGGAGUCACACAAAGGGUGUGACUUGGAAGAGUGUAUUCUUGUACCAGCUCUUCCCUUUUUUGCUUCCUGGCCUCCAUAAGGGUAAGUAUCUUUCCUCAACAUGUCCUUCUGCUAUGCCAUUUCUGCCUUGGAGCCAGCUAAGCAUGUACUCAACCAGCUGGAUCUGUGACCCAAAGAAAGCUCUCUCUUUUAAGUUGUGAAAAUCAUGUUGUCUUACUUUUCUCUCAUUGAUGAGACAGAA
Chinchilla lanigera (long-tailed chinchilla) is the source of this 969-nucleotide long non-coding RNA. RefSeq lists it as uncharacterized. The transcript is spliced from 3 exons. NCBI's taxonomy places the organism in Eukaryota, Metazoa, Chordata, Mammalia, Rodentia, Chinchillidae. The record is from RefSeq and is a predicted model, not a curated record.